RNAcentral lists this long non-coding RNA (743 nucleotides) under Panax ginseng (ginseng). RNAcentral's name for it is "long non-coding RNA (PGIN_LNC010373)". Lineage: Eukaryota; Viridiplantae; Streptophyta; Magnoliopsida; Apiales; Araliaceae. The record is from RNAcentral.
AUAUGGUCUGGCUGAAACAACCUGGAUCUUCAUACUAACAGUGUUUAAGCAUAUAAUUAUGCACAAUAUAACUGCUCUGGUGGGGCUUUACAAAGUUGAAAUAUUAGUGAAUGAAUCUAGGUUACCAAAUCUGCGUGUAAAUAUAAUGAUCUGCAUUCUGUUUUUGUCCCUUGAGAAUCAGGCAACUUGUAUUCUUUAUCAGAUCUAUCCUUUACCCUUCUUAGUUUGGACCAGUUCUUUCUUUGUUCAAAACGAUUGUAUAUUUCUCUCCAUUUUUAGUCAAGCCAAUUCCAGGCUUCACCACCCGACCAUUUAGAUAGGUGUGAAAUAGUAAAUAUGUCCCACAUUUAGAUAGGUGUGAAAAGUUGAAUUCAAUUAUUGAGGGGUUGCAUUGUAUUGAAUUUGUGAAGAGGGGGAAUGAUUUAGAUUGAUUGCAGUAAGAAUUUAGAGAGAUUGUAACAAAUAAUCAAUUUUUUAAAGAAAAAUAUGGACUUACAAUCAAAUAAAGUUUUCUUAGUAUUAUCUCAACGAACAUUUCAUUUGCUUAAUGAUUUAAAUCAUAAAUUUGUAUCGGUGGCAGUAUAAUGGUGUGUGAGUAUGAUAAGCAAAAAAAGUCUUCAUGCCUUUGUGUGGGGGUACUUAGGAGGUGUUUGAUAAAAAUAGAAUGAAUCUGAAUGUGAAUGAGUUGAAUCUGAAUCUGUAUGAGCUAGAGUUGCACAAAAGGCCUGAGGCCUGCGGAUUGG